AGAAAAAUGGAAGCACAGGUGGUUCCAGUGGAAUAUUUGUACCUCAGGACUUACAGCUUUUGCCAAGAGCCUGGCACCGUGCUGAGUGCAUCGCAGACUCAACUGUGAAAUGCAUGAAGAAGUAAAGGAAUGAAUAAUUUGGAAAUAGCUUCACAUUUCAGUGUUCUGUGGAAUAAGGCAAACUCUGGGAAAACACAGUGCAUCUUGUCAAGACAGUGGUUAAACUGAGACAGUAAAGAUCGUUAAUUGUCCAAUUCACCAGUUUUCAUUGAACUACCUGACAGUGGCCCUUUGAUAGAAGAGGGAGUUAAGAAGAAACCAGCCUUCCAGCAGCUGCCAGAACCAGGGAUCUGCAAGGGCUUGAAAUCUGAGCAGCUUUCUCAGUAGCUCGGUCAGGCAUACUAGAAGGUUUUAGGGCAGUGAGCUGCUCAGCUAUUGAUAUAUUACAUUUGGCACCUAUGGAGAGA
This is a non-coding RNA of Miniopterus natalensis, 467 nucleotides long. The record is from RefSeq and is a predicted model, not a curated record. Lineage: Eukaryota; Metazoa; Chordata; Mammalia; Chiroptera; Miniopteridae.